RNAcentral lists this ribosomal RNA (746 nucleotides) under Burkholderia sp. PG1-1/19c. RNAcentral's name for it is "bacterial SSU rRNA". It matches the Rfam family "Bacterial small subunit ribosomal RNA", at positions 28 to 766 of the family's 1533-position model. The record is from RNAcentral. Lineage: Bacteria; Pseudomonadati; Pseudomonadota; Betaproteobacteria; Burkholderiales; Burkholderiaceae.
AUUGAACGCUGGCGGCAUGCCUUACACAUGCAAGUCGAACGGCAGCACGGGUGCUUGCACCUGGUGGCGAGUGGCGAACGGGUGAGUAAUACAUCGGAACAUGUCCUGUAGUGGGGGAUAGCCCGGCGAAAGCCGGAUUAAUACCGCAUACGAUCUAUGGAUGAAAGCGGGGGACCUUCGGGCCUCGCGCUAUAGGGUUGGCCGAUGGCUGAUUAGCUAGUUGGUGGGGUAAAGGCCUACCAAGGCGACGAUCAGUAGCUGGUCUGAGAGGACGACCAGCCACACUGGGACUGAGACACGGCCCAGACUCCUACGGGAGGCAGCAGUGGGGAAUUUUGGACAAUGGGCGAAAGCCUGAUCCAGCAAUGCCGCGUGUGUGAAGAAGGCCUUCGGGUUGUAAAGCACUUUUGUCCGGAAAGAAAUCCUUGGUUCUAAUACAGUCCGGGGGAUGACGGUACCGGAAGAAUAAGCACCGGCUAACUACGUGCCAGCAGCCGCGGUAAUACGUAGGGUGCGAGCGUUAAUCGGAAUUACUGGGCGUAAAGCGUGCGCAGGCGGUUUGCUAAGACCGAUGUGAAAUCCCCGGGCUCAACCUGGGAACUGCAUUGGUGACUGGCAGGCUAGAGUAUGGCAGAGGGGGGUAGAAUUCCACGUGUAGCAGUGAAAUGCGUAGAGAUGUGGAGGAAUACCGAUGGCGAAGGCAGCCCCCUGGGCCAAUACUGACGCUCAUGCACGAAAGCGUGGGG